CCUACGGGAGGCAGCAGUGGGGAAUAUUGGACAAUGGGGGAAACCCUGAUCCAGCGACGCCGCGUGAGUGAAGAAGUCUUUCGGUACGUAAAGCUCUAUCAGCAGGAAAGAAAAUGACGGUACCUGACUAAGAAGCCCCGGCUAACUCCGUGCCAGCAGCCGCGGGAAUACGUAGGGGGCAAGCGUUAUCCGGAUUUACUGGGGGUAAAGGGAGCGUAGACGGCAGCGCAAGUCAGGAGUGAAAGGCAGAGGCCCAACCCCGGCACUGCUCUGGAAACUGUGAAGCUGGAGUGCAGGAGAGGUAAGCGGAAUUCCUGGUGUAGCGGUGAAAUGCGUAGAUAUCAGGAGGAACACCGGCGGCGAAGGCGGCUUACUGGACUGUAACUGACGUUGAGGCUCGAAGGCGUGGGGAGCAAACAGGAUUAGAUACCCCUGUAGUC
This 440-nucleotide ribosomal RNA is filed under the name uncultured bacterium. RNAcentral describes it as "partial 16S ribosomal RNA". It matches the Rfam family "Bacterial small subunit ribosomal RNA", at positions 338 to 795 of the family's 1533-position model. The record is from RNAcentral.